This 207-nucleotide ribosomal RNA is filed under the name uncultured bacterium. RNAcentral's name for it is "partial 16S ribosomal RNA". It matches the Rfam family "Bacterial small subunit ribosomal RNA", at positions 568 to 774 of the family's 1533-position model. The record is from RNAcentral.
CUCGUAGGCGGCUUGUCGCGUCGAAUGUGAAAACCCACAGCUCAACUGUGGGCUUGCAUUCGAUACGGGCAGGCUAGAGUUCGGUAGGGGAGACUGGAAUUCCUGGUGUAGCGGUGAAAUGCGCAGAUAUCAGGAGGAACACCGGUGGCGAAGGCGGGUCUCUGGGCCGAUACUGACGCUGAGGAGCGAAAGCGUGGGGAGCGAACA